CAAAGCAUUCGCACGGGAUCGUACACCCAAGAUGAGUACACUUUGAUUUGCGAGAGUUGGAUGGAGAUAGGCCAAGAUCCCAUGAAAGGUGCCGAGAAAAAAAGAUCUGUCUUUUGGACAAGAGUUCACAAGAACUUUCAUGAGCGAAGGAAGUUUGCCCCCUACCAAUUUACGAGCACACACGGCAUCAACGCAAUCCAAAAGAGAUGUGGGUUCAUCUAA
This 222-nucleotide ribosomal RNA is filed under the name Triticum aestivum (bread wheat). RNAcentral describes it as "partial small subunit ribosomal RNA". Lineage: Eukaryota; Viridiplantae; Streptophyta; Magnoliopsida; Poales; Poaceae. The record is from RNAcentral.